This 104-nucleotide transfer RNA is filed under the name Sphagnurus paluster. Its description in RNAcentral is "Tephrocybe palustris tRNA". It matches the Rfam family "tRNA". From Rfam's summary of the family: Transfer RNA (tRNA) molecules are approximately 80 nucleotides in length. Their secondary structure includes four short double-helical elements and three loops (D, anti-codon, and T loops). The record is from Rfam by way of RNAcentral. Lineage: Eukaryota; Fungi; Basidiomycota; Agaricomycetes; Agaricales; Lyophyllaceae.
GGUGAGAUGGCCGAGCGGUCUAAGGCGCCAGACUAAGGAUCAGGACGAUCGUCGUCCAGUAUAUCUGGUCCUCCGGGGCGUGGGUUCGAAUCCCACUCUCAUCA